Molecule: ribosomal RNA, 214 nt
Filed under: uncultured Glomeromycotina
Lineage: Eukaryota; Fungi; Glomeromycota
Description: partial small subunit ribosomal RNA
Rfam family: Eukaryotic small subunit ribosomal RNA (bases 91-214)
Source: RNAcentral
GGCCCGACCGGCCGGUCCGCCUCACCGCGUGCACUGGUUCGGUUGGGCCUUUCCCUCUGGGGAACCGCAUGUCCUUCACUGGGCGUGUCGGGGAACCAGGACUUUUACUUUGAGGAAAACAGAGUGUUCAAAGCAGGCCUAUGCUCGGAUACGUUAGCAUGGAAUAAUAGAAUAGGACGAAGGUUCUAUUUUGUUGGUUUCUAGGACCGUCGUA